This 458-nucleotide ribosomal RNA is filed under the name uncultured bacterium. Its description in RNAcentral is "partial 16S ribosomal RNA". It matches the Rfam family "Bacterial small subunit ribosomal RNA", at positions 28 to 507 of the family's 1533-position model. The record is from RNAcentral.
GACGAACGCUGGCGGCGUGCUUCAUACAUGCAAGUCGAACGAGAAGCUGACUUCGGUCAGUGGAAAGUGGCGGACGGGUGAGUAAUAUGUAGGAAAUCUGCCUUUAGGAGGGGGACAACAGAGGGAAACUUCUGCUAAUACCCCAUAUGAGCGUAGCUGAAAUGCUAUUCUUGAAAACUCCGGUGCCUAAAGAUGAGCCUGCAUCUGAUUAGCUAGUUGGUAGUGUAAUGGACUGCCAAGGCGACGAUCAGUAGCUGGUUUGAGAGGAUGAUCAGCCACAAUGGGACUGAGACACGGCCCAUACUCCUACGGGAGGCAGCAGUAGGGAAGUUUGCGCAAUGGGCGAAAGCCUGACGCAGCAACGCCGCGUGAACGAUUAAGCCCUUCGGGGUGUAAAGUUCUGUCAGUGGGGACGAAACUUGACGGUACCCACAGAGGAAGCACCGGCUAACUCCGUG